Acanthosepion pharaonis is the source of this 106-nucleotide non-coding RNA. The record is from the annotation of a GenBank genome assembly. Lineage: Eukaryota; Metazoa; Mollusca; Cephalopoda; Sepiida; Sepiidae.
CCCUAUCACAUUAAGACACCAUUCCCAUAUGAUCGCCAAAGUUAAGCAAUGUUGAGCCUAGUCAGUACCUAGAUGGGUAAUUCCUGGGGAUUACCAGGUGCUGUAA